Crotalus tigris (Tiger rattlesnake) is the source of this 1400-nucleotide long non-coding RNA. RefSeq lists it as uncharacterized. The transcript is spliced from 2 exons. NCBI's taxonomy places the organism in Eukaryota, Metazoa, Chordata, Lepidosauria, Squamata, Viperidae. The record is from RefSeq and is a predicted model, not a curated record.
UCUGCGCGGAUUCGAGGGGACCAAGUCAGGGCAGGAAAAAAAAAAAAAAAAGGCAGAGAAAAGUGGGCUCUUUAAGGUCUCGCUCGUUCGCCCGCUUCCUAGCUGUACUCUUGCUCUGUCCCUCUCUCUUUCUCCCUCUUGCACACCAGCGCUCUCUCUCUCUCUCUCUCUCUCUCUCUCUCUCUCUCUCUCUCUCUCUCACACACACACACACACACACACACACACGCACGCACAAUGGAAGGAGCCCGGGUCUAGACCACCCCGAGUCCCCAACGCCCAGACUUGUCCGCCAGCACUGGGCACGCGCGCCUAUAAUCCAUCAGUCCACCACAGAAUGGCCCCGCGUUCUGCAGCAGCGAAGGCGAGAGCCGGAUCCUUGGCGUGAGAGUUCACGAUUCAAAGUUGAGUCGGGGUGCGCGCGCGCGCGCGCGCGCGUGCGUGUGUGUUCCUUAAUCCGUUUGCGGGUGGUGUGCGUGUGUGCGCGUUAGUCCCCACCUCGCACGCUCUUUCUCUCUCCCUCCCUCCCUCCCUCCCUCCCUCCCUCCUUUUACUGCUGCACGUGAGUUCCUAAAUGAGAGAGAGGGAAGGAGGGAGGGAGAGAAAGAGAGAGAGGGAGAGGAAGCUGCUGCCUGCUUUCCUUAAGACUCCUAAUAGCAGAUAUUCAUGACUAUUAAUACUACACGAAUACUUAAUAAGGGAAGAAUGGCUGGAAAUCGAGCGUGAAGCGAGGAAGCAACUCAAGGCAGAGGCUGUUCUAAAUGACGUCCAUUGAAUGAAGAAUCAGUGUAUCUAAUCAGAGGUGGGGGGAGCGAGCGAGCGAGCGAGAGAGAGAAAGGGGACGGGGGGGGGAGUCAUGCCGUUGCUGCGUCUGACGAAUCACAGGAAAGGGGCAACAUUUUAAAAGGUUGCAGGGCAGGCAGAAGUGAAAGAGAAAGAGAGCCAGGGAGAGCAAACGGGUGGGAUCGAGGCAAGCCAAGGCAGGCACGCAAGCAGGCCUCGGCACAACUCCUGGGGCACACGCCUCACCCGAGGCAUGAGGGAAAAAAGGAAAAAUAAAAAUAAAGCCUUGGUCGUCGCCAGCUGCUUGCCCUCCGCCGCCUUCCGCUGCUGCUGUCGAGGUUACCUCAGCAAAAAAAAAAAGAAAAAAGAAAGGGGCGCUGCCCAGCAGCCGAAAGAACCGGAAGUCAAAUGAAGACUUUAAAAAAAAAAAAAAAAACCAUAAAUAAAUCCGGCAACUGACAGAAAAACCGAAAAGUGGAGGCACGUAAAGGACUGCAGCCCGAGGCCAAGCGCGUUUAGCGAAAAGGUGGAAGCCAAUCAAAACACUCGCGAGUUCCCCAAAAGCUGCCCUGAGGCCCGACUUUAAAUAAAUAAAUAAAUACAUACAUACAACCGAA